Molecule: long non-coding RNA, 216 nt
Filed under: Nicotiana benthamiana
Lineage: Eukaryota; Viridiplantae; Streptophyta; Magnoliopsida; Solanales; Solanaceae
Description: long non-coding RNA (NBEN_LNC017672)
Source: RNAcentral
GAUACUUGAAUGGCAAUUGACCUUGCUCAUAGCCAAGGUGGUCGAGGAUUUGUUUCUGUAUAGCAAGUGCUACCCCUCCAAAAGAGACUGAGCUCUUGUUCAGAUUAGCCUGCAGUCCUGAAGUUUCAGAGAAUUGGGAGAAACAUUUGGAUAGAGCCAUGACAGAGGCAGUGUCUCCUUUGGCAAACAGCAGCAGAUCAUCAGCAAAGCACAUAU